RNAcentral lists this ribosomal RNA (477 nucleotides) under uncultured bacterium. Its description in RNAcentral is "partial 16S ribosomal RNA". It matches the Rfam family "Bacterial small subunit ribosomal RNA", at positions 28 to 523 of the family's 1533-position model. The record is from RNAcentral.
GACGAACGCUGGCGGCGUGCUUAACACAUGCAAGUCGAGCGACGCAAUCCCUUCGGGGAGAAGACGGAGCGGCGAACGGGUGAGUAACACGUGGGCAACCUGCCCCUAGCUCUGGGACAACUCCGGGAAACCGGGGCUAAUACCGGAUACGACCUCGGAAGACAUCUUCUGAGGUGGAAAGUUUUUCGGCUAGGGAUGGGCCCGCGGCCUAUCAGCUUGUUGGUGGGGUAACGGCCCACCAAGGCGACGACGGGUAGCCGGCCUGAGAGGGCGACCGGCCACACUGGGACUGAGACACGGCGCAAGCGCCUACGGGAGGCAGCAGUGGGGAAUAUUACGCAAUGGGCGAAAGCCUGACGCAGCGACGCUGCGUGAGGGAUGAAGGCCUUCGGGUUGUAAACCUCUUUCAGCAGGGACGAAAACAGACGGUACCUGCAGAAGAAGCACCGGCCAACUACGUGCCAGCCGCCGCGGUAA